This 1460-nucleotide ribosomal RNA is filed under the name uncultured bacterium. Its description in RNAcentral is "bacterial SSU rRNA". It matches the Rfam family "Bacterial small subunit ribosomal RNA". The record is from RNAcentral.
GACGAACGCUGGCGGCGUGCUUAACACAUGCAAGUCGAACGAUGAAGCCUUUCGGGGUGGAUUAGUGGCGAACGGGUGAGUAACACGUGGGCAAUCUGCCCUGCACUCUGGGACAAGCCCUGGAAACGGGGUCUAAUACCGGAUAUGACAUGCUCCCGCAUGGGAUGUGUGUGGAAAGCUCCGGCGGUGCAGGAUGAGCCCGCGGCCUAUCAGCUUGUUGGUGAGGUAGUGGCUCACCAAGGCGACGACGGGUAGCCGGCCUGAGAGGGCGACCGGCCACACUGGGACUGAGACACGGCCCCCACUCCUACUGGAGGCAGCACUGGGGAAUAUUGUUCCACGGGGGGAAGACGGAUGAUGCAACGCCGCCUCGUGAGGGAUGACGGCCUUCGGGUUGUAAACCUCUUUCAGCAGGGAAGAAGCGAGAGUGACGGUACCUGCAAAAGAAGCGCCGGCUAACUACGUGCCAGCAGCCGCGGUAAUACGUAGGGCGCAAGCGUUGUCCGGAAUUAUUGGGCGUAAAGAGCUCGUAGGCGGCUUGUCACGUCCGUUGUGAAAGCCCGGGGCUUAACCCCGGGUCUGCAGUCGAUACCGGCAGGCUAGAGUUCCGGAGGGGGAGAUCGGAAUUCCUGGUGUAGCGGGGAAAUGGGCCAAAAUCAGGGAGAACACCGGUGGCGAAGGCGGAUCUCUGGGCCGAUACUGACGGUGAGGAGCCAAAGCGUGGGGAGCGAACAGGAUUAGAUACCCUGGUAGUCCACGCCGUAAACGGUGGGCACUAGGUGUGGGCAACAUUCCACGUUGUCCGUGCCGCAGCUAACGCAUUAAGUGCCCCGCCUGGGGAGUACGGCCGCAAGGCUAAAACUCAAAGGAAUUGACGGGGGCCCGCACAAGCGGCGGAGCAUGUGGCUUAAUUCGACGCAACGCGAAGAACCUUACCAAGGCUUGACAUACACCGGAAAGCAUUAGAGAUAGUGCCCCCCUUGUGGUCGGUGUACAGGUGGUGCAUGGCUGUCGUCAGCUCGUGUCGUGAGAUGUUGGGUUAAGUCCCGCAACGAGCGCAACCCUUGUCCCGUGUUGCCAGCAAGCCCUUCGGGGUGUUGGGGACUCACGGGAGACCGCCGGGGUCAACUCGGAGGAAGGUGGGGACGACGUCAAGUCAUCAUGCCCCUUAUGUCUUGGGCUGCACACGUGCUACAAUGGCCGGUACAAUGAGCUGCGAUACCGCAAGGUGGAGCGAAUCUCAAAAAGCCGGUCUCAGUUCGGAUUGGGGUCUGCAACUCGACCCCAUGAAGUCGGAGUCGCUAGUAAUCGCAGAUCAGCAUUGCUGCGGUGAAUACGUUCCCGGGCCUUGUACACACCGCCCGUCACGUCACGAAAGUCGGUAACACCCGAAGCCGGUGGCCCAACCCCCUUGCGGGGAGGGAGCUGUCGAAGGUGGGACUGGCGAUUGGGACGAAGUC